CGCAAGGGGAGCGGCAGACGGGUGAGUAACGCGUGGGAAUCUACCCAUCCCUACGGAACAACUCCGGGAAACUGGAGCUAAUACCGUAUACGCCCUUAGGGGGAAAGAUUUAUCGGGGAUGGAUGAGCCCGCGUUGGAUUAGCUAGUUGGUGGGGUAAAGGCCUACCAAGGCGACGAUCCAUAGCUGGUCUGAGAGGAUGAUCAGCCACAUUGGGACUGAGACACGGCCCAAACUCCUACGGGAGGCAGCAGUGGGGAAUAUUGGACAAUGGGCGCAAGCCUGAUCCAGCCAUGCCGCGUGAAUGAUGAAGGCCUUAGGGUUGUAAAGUUCUUUCACCGGAGAAGAUAAUGACGGUAUCCGGAGAAGAAGCCCCGGCUAACUUCGUGCCAGCAGCCGCGGUAAUACGAAGGGGGCUAGCGUUGUUCGGAAUUACUGGGCGUAAAGCGCACGUAGGCGGAUAUUUAAGUCAGGGGUGAAAUCCCAGAGCUCAACUCUGGAACUGCCUUUGAUACUGGGUAUCUUGAGUAUGGAAGAGGUAAGUGGAAUUGCGAGUGUAGAGGUGAAAUUCGUAGAUAUUCGCAGGAACACCAGUGGCGAAGGCGGCUUACUGGUCCAUAACUGACGCUGAGGUGCGAAAG
Molecule: ribosomal RNA, 639 nt
Filed under: bacterium
Lineage: Bacteria
Description: bacterial SSU rRNA
Rfam family: Bacterial small subunit ribosomal RNA
Source: RNAcentral